Molecule: non-coding RNA, 3105 nt
Organism: Heterocephalus glaber (naked mole-rat)
Lineage: Eukaryota; Metazoa; Chordata; Mammalia; Rodentia; Bathyergidae
Source: RefSeq, a predicted model, not a curated record
UAUUCCGGAGGAAGAGAUGUGCAGCUAUCACAGGCCCUCUGUGGCAGUCAGUGAACACUCGCCAGCACCCUGCAGCAGUGAGGGCGACUUGGGAGAAGGUAAAGCCAAGUUGCUGCUGCGAAUGGUGCCCUCUGGGGUUGUGCAGUGCAGGCCUGCAGCAGUGUACGUGGUGGCUCUGAACCCGAGCCUGAAAGGGCACGACUGCUCAAACACAGCACAGGAGGACAUUCACGCUCUUGAGACAGCAGGCUGCCCCUCCGUGCCCUGGCCUGGGCUUCUUGCUCUUGGACGUCGCCUGGUGUGGGGCCCCCUAGCAAUCUGACCCUCAGGCUUGGUGUUCCGCUCAGCCGAUCCCUGGCCCAGAGCCAAGGGUGCCAGGUUGGGGGCAGAAGGCCUGGCACAAGUCAGUUCUGCCACUCGUGGCUGUGCGAGCCCCAACAGGUCCCUCUGCCGGGCGGGGCCGACCCACCUUCCCCAGGAGGGCCGGCGGGUGGUACAGUGGCGCACGCUCCCUGGAGCGGCAGUGCCUUGUCUGGGAGACAGCGGGUCAGCGUCUGUGCAGGUCCAGGGCCGCUGAAGCCCUGGGCGAGGACAGGUGUGGGGGUCAGAGCCGGCGGGGCAGCCACACUGGCUCUGGUGUCUGGCUGGCCAGGCGCUGUGUGGCUGCACUUGCCGUGCACACUGGGUCUGAGGGUGCAGGGUCCUUGGGGGGAGAGGACGCUCCUGCACUUGGCUCUCUCGGAUCUGUGUUGAAACCCUACCACGCGCAUGCGCCGCCUUCCCGGCGCCUCCCAGUCCACGCCGGCCCCGCUGCCCUGCGCCGGCCGCUCUCCUCCUGUCGCUGUCCCAGCCAGCGGCGUCCUCGGAGGUGGCCAGCAUUCGCCCUGGUGCCCAGGCCGCACGUCUCCCAGAGCCCUGGCUCCUUCUGCACGGAGUCCCUCUGUCCUGGCUCUGGGACCCUCGUCCCUGCCUCCUUUACUGGCCCUGUGUUUUCAGUGCCCCGCCCCUCCCGGAGCCCCUAGGCCCGCACCCGCUGCCCGACUGCCCUGCUACCUGCACCCCAGGUCCCUCUCCUGGCUGUGAGCUCACUGGCCCAGCCACCUGUCACCCCGUCCCGCGUCUCCAGUGCAGAGUCCCCAGCUGGGCCCCCAGCGCCCCCUCCCAGUUGCCCAGACCCGGUCCUGCAGAUCAGCGGCCCGAGCGCCCUAACCACUGCUCUUGGGGACACAGGGACGCGGGUGCGACUUGGGGGAGGGGCCGCAGGGGCCCCAUAAAUCCCCAGGAGGGGAUGUAAUUGGCAGAAGACACAGCAGGACCGACGCUGGGCCACCCGAGUCUGCUCUGCUCACUCUGAGCACUGUGUUCACCGCCAACCUCUGCUGGACCCGCAGCACCCUGGGGAGUCUCCGGGGACGCUGGCCACUCUGGCUGGAGCCCCCAAGGUGCACCAGGAAACCCGGGCCACCUCCUCCAGCGCAGCCCGCUUCUCUCGCCACACUCUCCCCUCACCAAGCCUCAGAAGCCUUCCGUUCCCAGAGUCAAUGGCCCUCCCCUGGGAAGUCCCCCUAGAAGCCCUUAGCAGGGCUGGUCUGGGCUGGAGCUGACCAGUGAGACUGAUCACAGAGCUCUGAGCCACGGAGGGAGAAGGGGCCACUGCUCCAUGAGGCUUCACUGGAGGGCGCAGAUGUGGACAGAGCCACCUCUGAGGGCCCCAGCAGGCUGGCUCCUGGAGCUUCUUGGUAGCCUCUGGUGAGCUCAUGGGGGCCACCAUGGUCUCACCUCCUCAGGGGGCCCACGGGACCUGGGCCUCUGGUUCCCACAUUGGAUCCCCCAUGGUGGAAUCACAGAGUGCUGUGCCGGUCAGCUCCGUGUGACUGUGACACCCAGGUCAGCUCCGUGACUGUGACUCGCAGGUCAGCUCUGUGUCUGUGACUUGCAGGUCAGCUCCGUGAAUGUGACACCCAGGUCAGCUCUGUGUCUGUGACACGCAGGUCAGCUCUGUGUCUGUGACGUGCAGGUCAGCUCUGUGUCUGUGACUCACAGGUCAGCUCUGUGUGACUGUGACACAGAAGUCAGCUACAUGUCUGUGACUCGCAGGUCAACUUUGUGUCUGUGACUUGCAGGUCAGCUCCGUGAAUGUGACACCCAGGUCAGCUCUGUGUCUGUGACACCCAGGUCAGCUCCGUGUCUGUGAUUCGCAGGUCAGCUCUGUGUCUAUGACUCGCAGGUCAGCUCCGUGACUGUGACACGCAGGUGAGCCCCGUGCAAUUGUGACAAAUGCCUGGGAGAUGCAACUAUGAAAAAGAGCUUGGUUUUGCCUCAAGGUUCAGAAGUUCCUGGCCCUGUUGGCUUUAGGCGCAUGGUGGGAAAUCACAUCACCGCUGAAGUACAUGGCAACCUCACGUCUGAGAACUCAGGGAUGAAAGUUGGGGUGCAGGUGCCCUUUAAGGGGUCGGGCCUGGGAGCACGGUCCAGACCCAAACUGUGUGCAAGGGCUGCACACAUCUGUGUCAGCAGUGCGGACAUGCAUCUCCCUCAGCCUGUGAGUGCCACGUGGCCAUGGGAUGACCGUGUGGCCCCAUUUCGGAGAGGGGAGGACGGAACUGCACGCUGGUCGUGAGAAGGGCAGAGGCCCCUCAUUUCUGAGGGCGUUCCUCUGCCUCAGGAACUGGAAACAGAAGAGGGAGCAACCUGAAGGCACAAGCUUUGUGGGUGCUGUUUCCACGUCUCCUGCUGCCCUAUGUGGAGACGCCAGCCACUCGCCUCCAUCUUGGGUCUCGCUGACACCGCCAAGCCAUCACCACCACUUCCCAGCUGACGAGUUAUUUCUCACCCUUGUGUUUUACAAGUAUGGAGACAAAACUAUUGUCUAGGGUAUUAUUACACUUUCUAACUACUGAUAGAGUUAUGACAUUUGGUGGCGCAUUGGCAACCAGACAUACACAACAGGCAGCCACUUUUUAUUUAUCAUCUCCGGGCUUUGCAGUUACCAUAGCAAUAAAAUCCAUGCUUAACAGGAUGAUUACCAUUUUCAACAACUAAUGGAAUGAUUAUUUGUGUUUGUGGUUUCAAGCCUUAGAAUAAAAUGUAAUCCCAUCCAACAUA